CUCAGAACGAACGUUGGCGGCGUGGAUGAGGCAUGCAAGUCGAACGCGAAAGCCGCAAGGCGAGUAAAGUGGCGGACGGGCGAGUAACACGUAGGUAAUCAACCCUCUGGUUGGGGAUAACACUUCGAAAGGAGUGCUAAUACCCGGUAUGGCGCAGCGGUCUUCGGAUCGCGGCGAGAAAGACCCGCAAGGGUUGCCAGAGGACGAGCCUGCGGCCCAUCAGCUAGUUGGCGAGGUAACGGCUCACCAAGGCGAAGACGGGUAGCUGGUCUGAGAGGAUGAUCAGCCACACUGGAACUGAGACACGGUCCAGACUCCUACGGGAGGCAGCAGUGGGGAAUAUUGCGCAAUGGGCGAAAGCCUGACGCAGCCACGCCGCGUGAGCGAUGAAGGCCUUCGGGUCGUAAAGCUCUGUGGGGAGAGAAGAAUAAAGCCUGUGAAGAGCAGGCCUUGACGGUAUCUCCUUAGCAAGCACCGGCUAACUCCGUG
This 489-nucleotide ribosomal RNA is filed under the name uncultured bacterium. RNAcentral describes it as "bacterial SSU rRNA". It matches the Rfam family "Bacterial small subunit ribosomal RNA", at positions 23 to 507 of the family's 1533-position model. The record is from RNAcentral.